This is a long non-coding RNA of Labeo rohita (rohu), 452 nucleotides long. RefSeq lists it as uncharacterized. The transcript is spliced from 5 exons. NCBI's taxonomy places the organism in Eukaryota, Metazoa, Chordata, Actinopteri, Cypriniformes, Cyprinidae. The record is from RefSeq and is a predicted model, not a curated record.
GUCUUGAUGACUGUGGGACGUGUGUGAAGGAACGGGGAAAACGCGAUUGGAUGGUUAUACUUCGUUUUUUCUAUAAAAACCUUGCAUUUGAAUGUCCUCCUGGGUGAAGUUCAGUGGAUCAGGUGAAUGUUCGGAACAACCUGACCAAAGAACCAGGAAAUUCUAACCAGUUUCAGGACACUGUUGUUCAAAUCAUAAGCAAGAAGAAAAUUCUGAUGUUGUUACAGCAGGACACUUUCAAGACAUCAAAACUUCCUGAACAGCCCAGUCUCUAGGUUUCUGCUGAAAAGGCUGCCAUGACUCUGCAGAUUGCAGAGUGGAGGAGUGGGGACUUCAGCUGAAAUUGGCCAGCUCUGCGGAUUCUCAUCACUGGGCAAGAGACUGGCGCCAUUCCUCAGUCAGCUCUGAAGAGCUCUCCUCAUCGCUGAAGACCACAAGGUUGCACCCAUGGU